AGAGUUUGAUCAUGGCUCAGAACGAACGCUGGCGGCAUGGAUUAGGCAUGCAAGUCGAACGAUGAAGGAGAGCUUGCUCUCUGGAUUAGUGGCGAAAGGGUGAGUAACGCGUGAGUAAGCUGCCCUCAAGUUGGGAAUAAUUCACCGAAAGGUGGACUAAUACCGGAUACGGUUAUAACAGAGCAUUUUGUAAUAACUAAAGAUUUAUCGCUUGAGGAUGUGCUCGCGUCCCAUUAUGUUUGUUGGUGAGGUAACGGCUCACCAAGACUAUGACGGGUAGGUGGUCUGAGAGGAUGGUCACCCACACUGGGACUGAGACACUGCCCAGACUCCUACGGGAGGCUGCAGUCGAGAAUCUUCCGCAAUGGGCGAAAGCCUGACGGAACAAUGCCGCGUGUAGGAUGAAGGCCUUUGGGUCGUAAACUACUGUCACAGGGGAUGAAUAAAAUGACAGUACCCUGAGAGGAAGCCACGGCUAACUACGUGCCAGCAGCCGCGGUAAUACGUAGGUGGCGAGCGUUGUUCGGAUUUAUUGGGCGUAAAGGGUUCGUAGGGGGCAUUCUAAGUUUGAUGUGAAAUCCCGAGGCUUAA
This 591-nucleotide ribosomal RNA is filed under the name uncultured bacterium. RNAcentral describes it as "bacterial SSU rRNA". It matches the Rfam family "Bacterial small subunit ribosomal RNA", at positions 8 to 612 of the family's 1533-position model. The record is from RNAcentral.